Molecule: ribosomal RNA, 228 nt
Filed under: Triticum aestivum (bread wheat)
Lineage: Eukaryota; Viridiplantae; Streptophyta; Magnoliopsida; Poales; Poaceae
Description: partial small subunit ribosomal RNA
Source: RNAcentral
AUGACAAAACCAAAAUGUGAUGGUGGUAUUGGAUUUCGGGAUAUGCACAUGUUUAAUCAGGCUUUGCUAGCUAGGCAAGGUUGGAGACUGCUUCAUAAGCCAGACAGUCUCUGUCCUAGCGUACUGAAAUCGAAAUACUACCCUAAUGGUAAUCUCCUCAAUACAGUCUUCUCGUCGGAUGCAUCCCCUGUGUGGAGGGGAAUUGAGUUUGGCCUGGACCUUCUAUAA